This 612-nucleotide ribosomal RNA is filed under the name Triticum aestivum (bread wheat). RNAcentral's name for it is "partial small subunit ribosomal RNA". Lineage: Eukaryota; Viridiplantae; Streptophyta; Magnoliopsida; Poales; Poaceae. The record is from RNAcentral.
AUGCGUAAUCAAGACCCCCUCCCCCUCACCCGCCCCCGCGUCGCUCCCUUGGGGCAACUCGGGCGGCCCCCAACCCUAGCACGCCGCCGGCCUCUCCCCUCCUUCCUCCAGACCUUGCCGCCACCGGAGACUGCCGCCGGCAAGCCCGCGCGGCGCCGAGGAAGGUGGCGGCGAGGCUUGCCGCUCCUGCCUCACGCGCAGGGCAUGGUGUGCCGGGGUGGCGGCCCCGGUCAAGGUGGGCAACGCUGCUUCCUGCGGCGGACGGCGGCUACGGGUGCUCGGCUGGGCACCUCGGCUUGCUUGGGCGGCGAGGCCCCGGUGGAUGGAUCUCGCGGUGGCCGGAUUUCCUCCGUCGGUCCGCCUCCAGAUCUGAUUCGACCAGCUCCAACUCCACCCUCCUCGCCUUCUCCCGUUCGAUCUCAGCUCCGGUGCGACUCUGCUCGCCGGAUCCGGCGGUUGGCGGUGUUUUGGCGGUGGGGCUCCUGGGACCGGGGGAAACCCUUGGCCGCCGGCGGCGGCCACAACGACGACGAUGCCGCGGCGUCGAACUACUUCUUGGAGGCUUCGUUGAGGUAUCCCACCCCCCACCAAUCUGCCCCUGCAUCUAGGUGA